This is a long non-coding RNA of Psammomys obesus (fat sand rat), 537 nucleotides long. RefSeq lists it as uncharacterized. Lineage: Eukaryota; Metazoa; Chordata; Mammalia; Rodentia; Muridae. The record is from RefSeq and is a predicted model, not a curated record. The transcript is spliced from 4 exons.
CUGAGCCUCAGAAGUUACUAGGUUCUGCUUCCACAAAUUAAAUAAGCGAUUUUAAUCAUCUCUGUAGAAGGUAGUCAGCAAUGUUCCUGUGAAGAAUGGUUACCAGCUGAGAACGGCUCAUGUGCAACAAUGGAGACCUGGCAGGGGAGGAAGGGAGGCCGGGGUCGCUCUCCAAGCCGGCAUGGCUCUGCGCAGUAUUAGAAUCAGAAAGGCGGAGAGGCCACUAAGGAUAUUUCUUUUUCAAAAUGGCAUUACCUUGGAAAGGACUUGCAGUGGAGAAUAGCUUGGCAUGAUGUCAUGUAACAGAACUGUUGUCUCGGAGAGAAAAAGAGCUGACCAGACAAGCUUAUAUCACAAAAGGAUGCUCAAAAUAGUAUUGAUUGGUGUGGUGGUUUAAAUGAAAAUGGACCUCACAGGCUCAUAUGUUUCAAUGCUUGAUUCCUAAUUGGUGGAACUGGAAUUUGAGAAGUAUUAGAAAGAGGUGUGGCCUUUUCCGAAGAAGUGUGUCAUUGAGGGUGGGCUUUGAAGUUUCAAAAG